Daphnia magna is the source of this 1146-nucleotide long non-coding RNA. RefSeq lists it as uncharacterized. The transcript is spliced from 3 exons. The record is from RefSeq and is a predicted model, not a curated record. Lineage: Eukaryota; Metazoa; Arthropoda; Branchiopoda; Diplostraca; Daphniidae.
AUAGAUCGGAUCAUGGUGUGGGACACAGUGAAAAGGGAUAUAGCAUGGCUCACUAGCAUUGGACAAUCUGAAAACGUUGCGUAAAAACAUAAACAUACCUGGAUAAUUGUGUGAACGCCUCCUGAAAGUAUAAUCCCCGCAAACACAAGACGACAAUUCGUUAAAAAAAAAAAAAAACAGAACAAACAAAAAAGUGAAGGGGACGGAGGGUAGUUGGUCGAACACACCUGUCACACAGUGAAAGAAAACAACUGUCGUUUGGUCUAGUGACGUAACUUGAGAGAAAACUAUACUCGACCCGGGGGGGAAGGGGGAACAAAAAUUAUUGGUAAUAUCGCACGAUGGCGGGAAAGUCAAACCACUCGCAUCUUCUUUCAAUGAAAUCACGUCUCCAAAAAUAGCUGCUGCGCUCAUUAUGUACGAAAUACGUGACAUCAAUACAAGGAUAAACCAAGCAGCUGUAUUUCUGAAGAAAAAACAAAAUUAUAAUCAACCUGCAAUAUUACACUCAGGUAAUAGACGGAUCGCCUUUCACUUGUGUCCGUAGGCCAAAUUAUGCAAGGGGAUGAGACGGUUGUUACUUUCUUGCUCAUUAAAACAUUUGAAAGUGAGAAAAAGAAACAAGAACGUGACCGAAUUCUGAUACUGCCGUAUACACUGAUUGAUCGAGAGAGGUCCAGUUGGUGCGUAAACCUGUCGAAAGGACGUGCCCAUAACGGGAUGCCAGUAAAACCAAUGAACUGGACGAAAAGAGAAAAUGAUUGAAAUUUGUGGAUACGAGAAGAGUGUCACCGAAGGGACGUAAUCGUGAACCGAAUGGAAAGCGAAAUGUUUGAUCUCUCUCUCCACUUUUCCUGUUCAAGUUCAAUAGACCCCGACUUGCACUAAACUUGUUCUCUCCCCUUCUCCCCAUGUUCUCCCAUUCUUCGCCAACAAAUGAACGUUUGCGGAAUUUGAACGAUGUUUUUCUUUCAUUUUUGUUUUACGAAAGCGUAAAAUGUUGUCGUUCAUUUUUGUAGAAACAAGUAAGUCAUUAAAGAAUAAAUUCUCAAAUUAAGAUGCUCGCUUAAGUUCUGCGUUUAUUUCCUUUCCCCCCACCGCCUUCUGUCUGUGUGUUUUUGCGUUUGUGUUUUUUGAUUGUCGGUC